CCGCUGCCACUCCCGGGAGCAUGAAGGACCGAACCCAGGAGCUCCGCACGGCCAAGGACAGCGAUGACGAUGAUGACGUCACCGUCACCGUGGACCGAGACCGCUUCAUGGAUGAGUUCUUCGAACAGGUGGAGGAGAUCCGCGGCUUCAUUGACAAGAUCUCGGAGAAUGUGGAGGAGGUGAAGCGGAAGCACAGCGCCAUCCUGGCCUCCCCGAACCCUGAUGAGAAGACCAAGGAGGAGCUGGAGGAACUCAUGUCCGACAUCAAGAAGACAGCAAACAAAGUUCGCUCCAAGUUGAAGAGCAUUGAGCAGAGCAUCGAGCAGGAGGAAGGCCUGAACCGCUCAUCGGCUGACCUGAGGAUCCGAAAGACACAGCACUCCACGCUGUCCCGGAAGUUUGUGGAGGUGAUGUCCGAGUACAACGCCACGCAGUCUGACUACCGCGAGCGCUGCAAGGGCCGCAUCCAGAGGCAGCUGGAGAUCACCGGCCGGACCACGACCAGCGAGGAGCUGGAGGACAUGCUGGAGAGUGGGAACCCGGCCAUCUUUGCCUCCGGGAUCAUCAUGGACUCCAGCAUCUCAAAGCAGGCCCUGAGCGAGAUUGAGACACGCCACAGUGAGAUCAUCAAGCUGGAGAACAGCAUCCGGGAGCUGCACGACAUGUUCAUGGACAUGGCCAUGCUGGUGGAGAGCCAGGUGCUCUUUUCCUGAAAUCCUGCCCCGGGCCCCCUCGCAACCCUGAGGGGAGCCCUCUGGAGCUCGGGUGCCCCUGGCCCUGCAGGGGGAGAUGAUUGACAGGAUUGAGUACAACGUGGAACACUCGGUGGACUACGUGGAGAGGGCCGUGUCUGACACCAAGAAGGCUGUCAAGUACCAGAGCAAGGCUCGCCGGAAGAAGAUGAUGAUUCUCAUCUGCUGUGUGGUCCUGGGCAUCGUCAUUGCCUCCACCUUCGGGGGCAUCUUCGGAUAGAGGCCCCCCGCCCCGCCGCCACUCCACCCUCCGGAUGGUCCACUCCCAGGUGGCCCACCUGGCUGCUGCCACCUUCUGGCUCAGAGCCCUC
RNA transcript from Hippopotamus amphibius kiboko, 1063 nucleotides. It is a transcript of the gene named syntaxin 1A, with no coding region annotated. The transcript is spliced from 10 exons. NCBI's taxonomy places the organism in Eukaryota, Metazoa, Chordata, Mammalia, Artiodactyla, Hippopotamidae. The record is from RefSeq and is a predicted model, not a curated record.